UAUUUUUUUUUUUUGAGCAAAUCGUGGGCAAACAUAGGUUUAAGCUUAUUAAGCAAGGCACAUUAAUCAGGCAUAACAAAGUCUUUGGCAAGAAUAAAAUUUUAUUUUCGUUAGAAAAGCAAAUGGGCAAGUUUACAUUGUUAUCUAUAAAUCUCCUUUUAUCUUAAAAAUUCUGUGAUUUGACGAUUCCAAAUCAUUAAGAAUUUUAGAAAUGGAUAUAAAACAGUGAUAAGAACAUUUCCUUUCAAAAUGCGUAAAGCAUUGUUAAAAUAUCUCUGGGAAAAACGCUUGCUGGGAUUUCUAAAUUCAAUAAAAGCCAUUAUGCAUUUCUCAGAGAAGCACACCAAUAAAGUGGUGACAACUCUUCCAAGGUUACAAAGAAAGAACUCAGGAAAAAUUGUUAGUUUUAGAAGGUAAUAAUGUGCAGAAUAAUUUACAUUAUAUAUUUAUUUUAAAAGUACAUAAAUGAAAAUUAAGAACUUAGAUGAAGUGGACAAAUUCUUUGAAGAAAUAUAACAAAAUUAGCACAAAAUAAAAUGUAAAAUCAGAAUUGACAAUAAAAUAAUUAAAAUACAUAUAAGCAACUAUAGGGAAAAAUUUAAAACAUUGCUAAAAUGGGUUGAAUAAGACCUAAAUAAAUUAGAGAAACUGAACUUAUUUUUUAAAGCUUUCCUGUGAAGAUAUUUCCAUAUCCAAAGAAAUGAUAGUAUCAAUGUUUUCUAUUAUUCAAGGGAUAAGCACUGUCAGAAAACAGGAGGAAACACUUCAUAACUCAUUUUAUAAGGCCAUCAUAUCCCUAAUGACAAAACCUGAAAAAAAUUACAAAAAAAGAAAAUUAAUGAUUAUUAUCUUUCAUGAAUAUAUAUGCAGAAAUCAUUAACAAAAUAUUAGCAAAUUGAAUACAAAAACCAUAUUAAAAGAUAGUAGACUAUUACUGUGUAGGAUUUUUCCCCCAUGCAUCUGUUUUGCUUUUUUUAAUUUUGUUUUAUUGGAAUAUAGUUGCUUUACAGUGUUGUAUUAGUUUCAGGUGUGCAGCAAAGUAAUUAAGUUAUACAUAUACAUAUAUUCAUUCUUUUUCAGAUUCUUUUGCCAUAUAGGUUACUACAGAAUAUUGAGAAAAGUUCCCCCUGCUAUGCAGUAGGUCCUGUUGCUUAUCUAUUUUACAUAUCAUAAUGUGUAUACAUUAAUCCCAAACUCCUAAUUUAUCACUCUUCCCCCAUAUUUCCCCUUUGGUAACCAUAAGUUUGUUUUAAUAAACUGUGGGUCUGUUUCUGUUUUGUAAAUAAGUUCUUUUGAUCAUUUUCAUUAGUUUCCACAAAAUGAUCUCAUAUGAUAUUUGUCUUUCACUGUCUGACAUACUUCACUUAGUAUAAUAAUCUCUAGGUUGCUGUUAAUGGCAUUAUUUCAUUUUUUGUGUGUGUGUGUGGCUAACAUAACAUUGUAUACAGGUACUGCAUCUUCUUUAUCCACUCCUCUAUCAAUGGACAUUUAGGUUGCUUCCAUUCUUGGCUAUUGUAAAUAGUGCUGCAAUGAACAUUGGAGUGCAUGUAUUUUUUAGAAUUAUGAUUUUCUCCAGAUAUAUGCCCAGAAGUGUGUUUGCUGUAUCAUAUGAUAGUUCUGUAUUUAAUUUUUUAAGGGCAUUUAUUACAUUGUUUUAUUUAUUUUUUAUUUUUCUUUUUAGAGCCGGGACCAUGGAAUAUGGAAGUUCCCAGGCCAGGGGUGGAAUUGGAGCUGCAGUUACUAGAGUUACCACAGCAACUCAGGACUGGAGCCACAUCUGUGACCUAUACCACAGCUUAUGGCAAUGGAGAAUCGUUAACCCUCUAAGCGAGGCCUGGGAUGAACCCACAUCCUCCUGGAUACCAGUAGGGUUUUUUUUACCUCUGAGCCUCAACAGAAACUCCUGUAUUUACUUUUUUAAGGAACCUCCAUACCGUCCUCCAUAGUGGUUAUACCAAUUUACAUUCCCACUAACAGUAUAGGAGUGUUCCCUUUUCCUCCAUACACUUCCCAGCAUUUAUUGCUAAGAUUUUUGAUGAUGAACAUUCUGACUAGUGUGAGGUGGUACCUCGUUGCAGUUUCGAUUUGCAUUUCUUUAACAAUUAGUGACAUUGAGCAUUUUUUCAUGUGCUUUUUGGCCGUCUAUUUAUCUCUGUUGGAGAAAAGUCUAUUUAGAUUCUUUGCCCAUUUUUUGACUGAGUUGUUUGCCUUUUUUUUUUUUUAGCAAGCCACCAAAGUUUUUAUUAAAGGAAAGCAGAUAGCUCCCAGGGCUACUGGGAGGGGGGAAAAGAGCCCCCUUGUUUGCUUUGUUAAUAUAGAGCUGAGUAAGAUGUUUGUAUAUUUUGGAGAUUAAUCCCUUAUUGGUCACUUUGUUUGCAAAGGUUUUCUCCCAUUCUAUGGUUUGUUUUUUCAUUUUGUUUAUGGUUUCCUUUGCUCUGCAAAAGCUUUUAAGUUUAGUUCCCAUUGCUUUAUUUUUGUUUUUAUUUUCAUUACUCUAGGAGGUAGACUCAAAAAGGUAUUGCCGCAAUUUUUGUUAAAAAGUGUUCUACUCCAUAGAAUUUAUCCUAGGAUUAUAAAUUUAUUUUAAUAUUUAAAAUCAGUGACUGCAAUUCACCAUAUCAGAAUGAAGAAUAACAACCAUAUGAUCCUUUCAAAAGAAGCAGGAGUUUGGGGUUGUUGACAGUAUUCAACAUUUGUUCAUGAUGAAAGCUUUUGCCAAAAUGUCUUCAGCUAACACCACAAUUAAUGGUGAUUGUGAUGGCUGAUUUUACAAGUCAACUUGGCUGGGUCACACAGUGUCCUGGUAUUUGGUCCAAUAUUAUUCUGAGUGCUUUUGGAUGACAUUAACAUUUAAAUUAGCAGAUUUUUAAGUACAAAGCAGGUUGCUCCCUAUCGUGUGGUGAGCCUCAUCCAAUUAGUUGAAGGCUUGAACAGAGAAAAACAGACUAGCCUCCUCUGAGCAAGAGAGAAUUCUCCAGCAGACUGCCUUCAGAUUCCAUUUGCAAUGUUGCUUCUUUUGGUCCUACAGCAAUUCCUUUAGACUCAAACUAGAACAAUGCUUCACUUGGGUCUACAGCUUGCUAACCCACCCUAAGGAAUUUGUACUUGCCAAUCUUCAUAAUCAUUAAAGUCAAUUUUGUGCACUAAAUCUCAUUUUUACACACCACACCACACACACACACACAGAGCUCUGUUUCUCCGGAGACCUCUGAUCGAUACAGUGAUAUAUUAAAUACUUCCCUUGCAAGAUCAGGAAGAGAAGGAUGCAUACUCUCACCAGUAUUUUUCAACAUUGUGCUGAAGAUCCCAAUCAUCGCAAUAGCAAAAGAAAAAUAAAGGCAUAAUCCUUCAAAAGGAAGAAGUAAACUGUUUCUGUUCAGAGAUGGCAAGAUUGUUUUCAUAGAAAAUCCUGAUGAAUACACAACAGUACUGGAACCAGUGAGUGAACUGAUCCACAUUGCAAGAGAAAGGUCAAUAUAAUUGAGCAAAUAUAUAUUUACAUUCUAAGAGCAAACAAUUAGAAAAUAAAUCAAUAGCAUCAGAAUACAUAAAACACAGGAACAAAUUUAGCAAAAAAUGGGCAAGGCAUUUACACAGAAAGUUAUAAAACAUUUCUAUAAAAUUAUAGGAUAUAUCAAUAAAUGAAAACAUUCAUGUUUACGUAUUAGAAGAUUCAACAUUAUUAAAACACUUACUCGUCCCAGAUUGCAAUCUCAAUCGUACCCCUAGAACAUUUUUCACAGAAAUUGUCAACUUGAUGCAAAAUUGUAUAUGGAAAUGCAAAUUACCUAGAAUAGCCAAGUAAUGUUUAGAAGGAAGAGCUAAACUGAUGUUAACACUUCCUCUAUCUGAAUAUUUAGUAAUCAAGACAGUUGUGGUAUUGAUAAAAUGAUAGACAUAUAGAUCAAUAGAACAGAAUAAAGGAUACAGAAAUAUACCUGCACAUAUACACUAUAUUAUUUUGACAAAAAUAUAAAAAUUUUCAAUGAGUAGAGAAACUUCUUUGAACAGUGCUAGAAACACUGGAUAUUCAUGUAGGAAAAAAGUGAAUAUUUAAACAUAUAUACACCAUAAAAAAUAGCUCUAAGUCAAUCAAAUACUUGACUAGAAAAACUAAAAUAACAAAGCAUCUGGAAAAAAAAACAUAGAAAUAAAAAUCUGGCGGUUCGAAGACUGCUUAGAGAUGACACAAAAGCACAAUAUAUAAAAGAAAAAAUAUAAAUUAGACUUUAUGACCAUUAAAAACAUGUAUAUUUCAAAAUACAGACAACAAAAAGGUAAACCUAAGAAUGAGAAAAAAUAUUCACAAUACAUUAUGUUACAAAGGAUUUCUAUUCAGAAAAUAUAACUUAUUUUUACAACUCAAUAAUAUACAGACAACUAAUUAAAAAUAGGUGAAAUAUUUGAAAGGAUACACAAAAGGAGACAUGCAAAUGGUCAAUAAGAAUAUGAGGAGAUAUCUAAAAUCAAAAAGAUGCAUUAAUCAUCAGGAAAAAAAUGCAAAUUAAAAACGCCGUGAGAAACCACUACUCAUGAUUAGAAUGAUUAAAAUUAAAAUGUCUGUUAUGGGGAGUUCCCAUUGUGGCUCAGUGGUAUCAAACCCAACUAGUAUCCAUGAAUUUGUGGGUUCAAUCCCUGGCCUCACUCAGUGGGUUAAGAAUUCGGCAUUGCCACAAGCUACAGUGUAGGUCGCAGACACAGCUCAGACCCCUUGUACUGCUGUGGCUGUGCUGGCAGCUGCAGCUCUGAUUCAACUCCUAGCCUGGGAACUUUCAUAUGCUGCGGGUGCAGCCUUUAAAAGCAAAAAAAAAAAAAAACGGGAAAAAAAUUUAAAACUAUCAGUUAUGGAGAAGUGUUUGGAGCAACUGAAUCUCAUGUACAUUGUUUCUGAGAAAUCAGGAAGUUACCUUACAUGUUUAUAGUAUGUCUGGCCAUUUCAUUUCUAGGUAUUUACCCAGUAGAAGUGAAAAUAAGUAUUCACAAAAACUGCCUGUACAUGAAUAUCUGUAGCAACUUUAUUCACUAUAGCUAAAGGCUGGGAAAAAGCCAAAUAUCUACCCAGGGGUGAAUGGGAUAAAAAUAUGAGUUACAUACUUGUAAUAGAAUAAUUCUCAGCAAUAAAAAGAGAAGAACUACUGAUGCGUACAAUAGCACGAAUGACCUGAAACUCAUUUCCCUGAGUGAAAAAAUUCAGACAUGAAAUAGUACAUACUGUAAGACUUCAAUCAAUUAAAAUUCUAGAAAAUGCACACUGAUGGAUUGUUACUAAAAGUGUAUCAACUAUUGCCUGGGGUGGAGCUACGAAUGAGGGAUGGACUACAAAUAGGCAUGAGAACACUUUGCGGGGGAGAUGGAAAUAGUCUACAUCUUGUUCAUAAGGAGGAUUUCACAGAUGUACAUAUCCAUCAAAAUCCAAAUACAUGUACACUUGAAAUAGAUGCAGUGGUAUGAAAAUUAUAAAUAAAUAAAAGCAAUUUUUAAAAUGGAAACAAAUAAACCAUCAAAUAAAGUGUGGUAUGUGCUCAGGACUAAAUGUUAAUAGACUAUGAAAAUGAUUUUUAACUGUUAGUAAUGACAUCUUUUUAAAUGCUAUAAAAUGAAUAGCCUGAUGGAUUGGUUUAUUUAGGAUGAUCAAAGCUAUGCAAAUGUAUACAUGCAAAAGAACAAAUGAAACUGGAAGAAUAUGUAUGAAGAUAUCUUUCAGGGCUUUUUCUCCUACGCAUUUGUAAAUUGCAAACAUUCUAUAAAUGAGAUUCUUUUUGUUCUAAAACAACUUUUACUGUCAUGUUGAUACGAUAGAGGUGGUAGGAUGAGCAGGGAGCCAAGGGAUUUCUAUGGCCCUUUUCAGCAUUAUUUAGCUUUAGCAUGCUUCUUCUGAAAUGACUCAUUUCAAGAGCUGCCUGCAUUGCUUCUUGGGAGUCAGACGGGUGGAAGACAACCAGUAAGUUAGGCAUUAUGUUCUAGUCUGAUAGUAAUUGAAGCUGUAGUUUAAAAAAAAAUGACAACAUGUACAAUAAUGGCAUUACACAUUGACAAGACAAGCA
Molecule: long non-coding RNA, 6044 nt
Filed under: Sus scrofa (pig)
Lineage: Eukaryota; Metazoa; Chordata; Mammalia; Artiodactyla; Suidae
Description: lncRNA (ENSSSCG00030024522.1)
Source: RNAcentral